This 480-nucleotide unclassified non-coding RNA is filed under the name Hevea brasiliensis (rubber tree). Lineage: Eukaryota; Viridiplantae; Streptophyta; Magnoliopsida; Malpighiales; Euphorbiaceae. The record is from RNAcentral.
GCCGAGGGUGGCGAGCAUGGCCCAUCGGCCAUGGAUAAGCUCACACUCACGGAAACGCUGGAGGCCAAACACCUCCCCAUAGGGCUGGAAGGGGGUCGACUUGACUUCAGAAGUCUCAAACCGGGUGCCGAUGAUAUCACCGGCGUUGUUCUUGGCGAGAUUCUGAUCGAGUGAAUCAAAGUCGUACUGAAGGUACUCUGCAGGCUUGCCGAGGCCCAAUGGAUCAAACCCGUAGUCUCCCACCAGCGACCCGUCGAGAUACUCCGGUGCCGUGGCACCGGGGUACCACAGAAUGCGGUCAGAGGUUGUCUUGGAGGCAGCUUUUUUCUUGGCCGGAGCAGACUUCUUUUUGCCGAAGCCGAAGCCGAAGCGGGCCUGGAAGCGGCUGCUGCCGCCAGCGGUCUCGACGGCCGACGGGUGGAGGUGGGUGCCGAAGAGGGUGGAGGUGGCUGCGGCGGUGGUAGCCAUGUCCUCUGCCGG